Molecule: long non-coding RNA, 467 nt
Filed under: Lynx pardinus (Iberian lynx)
Lineage: Eukaryota; Metazoa; Chordata; Mammalia; Carnivora; Felidae
Source: RNAcentral
CCUCUCUAGGAAAUGAAGCCAGAAUCCACAGAUGUCAUUAUCCAUCUACAUACAUCUGUUUACUACCCAGAAGGCAAGGAUAUUGCAUUUUAAAAGGGUCUGGACUUUUGUUCUUAUCACAAAUGACUUGAGUGGCUCUGACCAUUCACGUUUACCCGGAGUGAAAGUGUCAGUGAAAGCUUUGCUUCCUGGAGAGCUUUGAGAUUCUGGUACAAAAGGCAUUUUAUAAGCACAAAGUGGAAAAGCAUCAUUUAUAUUCAUUUGCUGCUGUGGCAUUUCUCUCUGGAAUCUUCCUCUUGUCUGUCAACAUUGUACAAAAAGACUGGCCUCAUCUACAUUACAAAUAUCAUUCUUUUAAUGGUCUGCAAGUAGGAAAGAGACAGCAUAAGAAGGGAGGGGGCGGAGAAACUUGAGGUCUCCUGUUGGAAGAUCUAGGCUUGUUUAUCCCUAAAACUGGGUGCACAUCA